This 69-nucleotide transfer RNA is filed under the name Marmota marmota marmota (Alpine marmot). It matches the Rfam family "tRNA". Rfam says of the family: Transfer RNA (tRNA) molecules are approximately 80 nucleotides in length. Lineage: Eukaryota; Metazoa; Chordata; Mammalia; Rodentia; Sciuridae. The record is from Rfam by way of RNAcentral. RNAcentral also lists the same sequence under 1 other name.
GGAGUUGUGGCUCAGUGGUAGAGUACUCGCCUAGCACACGAGAGGUGCUGGGUUUGAACCUCAGCACCA